RNAcentral lists this ribosomal RNA (826 nucleotides) under Peyssonnelia capensis. RNAcentral's name for it is "SSU rRNA". It matches the Rfam family "Eukaryotic small subunit ribosomal RNA", at positions 942 to 1789 of the family's 1831-position model. The record is from RNAcentral. Lineage: Eukaryota; Rhodophyta; Florideophyceae; Peyssonneliales; Peyssonneliaceae.
GCUGCGAAACGUCUGCCAGGACGUUUUCAUUGAUCAAGAACGAAAGUAAGGGGAUCGAAGACGAUCAGAUACCGUCGUAGUCUUUACUAUAAACUAUGAGGACUGGGGAUCGGGCGGGAAUCAGAAUUGGCCCGCCCGGCACCCUUCGGGAAACCAAAGUGUUUGCUUUCUGGGGGGAGUAUGGUCGCAAGGCUGAAACUUAAAGGAAUUGACGGAAGGGCAUCACCGGGUGUGGAGCCUGCGGCUUAAUUUGACUCAACACGGGGAAACUUACCAGGUCAGGACAUAGUGAGGAUUGACAGAUUGAGAGCUCUUUCUUGAUUCUAUGGUUGGUGGUGCAUGGCCGUUCUUAGUUGGUGGAGUGAUCUGUCUGGUUAAUUCCGUUAACGAGCGAGACCUGGGCGUGCUAGCUAGGCGCGGUUACUAAUUUUGGUAGCGAGGCUUGCCUUCCUAGACGGACUGCGGGCGUCUAGCCCGCGGAAGCUCCAGGCAAUAACAGGUCUGAGAUGCCCUUAGAUGUUCUGGGCCGCACGCGUGCUACACUGAGCGGGCCAACGGGUGAGGAUGUGCGAAAGCAUUUCCCAAUCUCUAAAUCCGCUCGUGCUGGGGAUCGAGGCUUGCAAUUGUCCCUCUUGAACGAGGAAUACCUUGUAAGCACGGGUCAUCAUCCCGUGCUGAAUACGUCCCUGCCCUUUGUACACACCGCCCGUCGCUCCUACCGAUUGAGUGGUCCGGUGAGGCCUUGGGAGGGCUAGGUGGACUGUGUUUUACAUGGACUGCUUGGCCCGAACCUGGUCAAACCUUAUCACUUAGAGGAAGGAGAAGU